UUGUGGCCCCAAGUCAGGCGA
This 21-nucleotide ribosomal RNA is filed under the name Roscoea tumjensis. RNAcentral's name for it is "partial 26S ribosomal RNA". Lineage: Eukaryota; Viridiplantae; Streptophyta; Magnoliopsida; Zingiberales; Zingiberaceae. The record is from RNAcentral. RNAcentral also lists the same sequence under 22 other names.